Molecule: long non-coding RNA, 307 nt
Organism: Acanthopagrus latus (yellowfin seabream)
Lineage: Eukaryota; Metazoa; Chordata; Actinopteri; Spariformes; Sparidae
Exons: 2
Source: RefSeq, a predicted model, not a curated record
GGAGAUGUAGCGCUGGACUUGAGCUUGGUUUACGCCGUACAUGGACAGCCAUACCAUUGCACCCCCGACAGUCAGGCUCCAGAAGCUUUUUCCAGAACAUCUCACUGAUGCAAUGGCUAUCUUUGAAGAGGGCAACAAUGAAGACCCAUACGGAGGUCCUGAGAUGGCCACUGAAAAAGCCCAUCCACCCAAGGAGUGAGAUGCAGCUGAAAUCUCAAGCAAACCUCAAAUUGCUUUUGUCUUCUAUAGAGAGAGCAUCUUACUGUUCGCUCAUAGUCAUGUGUCGUGAAAUGGAAAACAAAACAAA